GUGAGGGAGGGGAUGACUAGUGACAGAGUGAGGGAGGGAAGUGGUGACUAGUGACAGAGGGAAGGGUGACUAGGGACAGAGUGAGGGAGGUUGUGACUAGUGACAGUCACCACCUCCCUCACUGUCACUAGUCACCCCCUCCCUCACUCUGUCACCAGUCAUCCCCUCACUCUGUCACUAGUCACCCCUUCCUUCCCUCACUCUGCCACUAGUCACCCCUUCCCUCAC
RNAcentral lists this small RNA (228 nucleotides) under Pelobates cultripes (western spadefoot toad). The record is from RNAcentral. Lineage: Eukaryota; Metazoa; Chordata; Amphibia; Anura; Pelobatidae.